This 129-nucleotide ribosomal RNA is filed under the name Triticum aestivum (bread wheat). Its description in RNAcentral is "partial small subunit ribosomal RNA". Lineage: Eukaryota; Viridiplantae; Streptophyta; Magnoliopsida; Poales; Poaceae. The record is from RNAcentral.
AUGCGGGAUAUAAAAACAUAUCUCUCUGUAGCACCCGUGAUAAGUACUCUAUGGUUUGGUGCUUUAGCAGGUUUAUUGAUAGAAAUUAAUCGUUUAUUCCCAGAUGCUUUGUCAUUCCCUUUUUUUUAA